CCUACGGGAGGCAGCAGUGGGGAAUUUUGGACAAUGGGGGCAACCCUGAUCCAGCAAUGCCGCGUGUGUGAAGAAGGCCUUCGGGUUGUAAAGCACUUUUGUCCGGAAAGAAAACCAUCGCCCUAAUAUGGUGGUGGGAUGACGGUACCGGAAGAAUAAGCACCGGCUAACUACGUGCCAGCAGCCGCGGUAAUACGUAGGGUGCGAGCGUUAAUCGGAAUUACUGGGCGUAAAGCGUGCGCAGGCGGUCUGUUAAGACCGAUGUGAAAUCCCCGGGCUUAACCUGGGAACUGCAUUGGUGACUGGCAGGCUUUGAGUGUGGCAGAGGGAGGUAGAAUUCCACGUGUAGCAGUGAAAUGCGUAGAGAUGUGGAGGAAUACCGAUGGCGAAGGCAGCCUCCUGGGCCAACACUGACGCUCAUGCACGAAAGCGUGGGGAGCAAACAGGAUUAGAUACCCUGGUAGUCCACGCCCUAAACGAUGUCAACUAGUUGUUGGGGAUUCAUUUCCUUAGUAACGUAGCUAACGCGUGAAGUUGACCGCCUGGGGAGUACGGUCGCAAGAUUAAAACUCAAAGGAAUUGACGG
This 586-nucleotide ribosomal RNA is filed under the name Burkholderia sp. XWS-9. RNAcentral's name for it is "bacterial SSU rRNA". It matches the Rfam family "Bacterial small subunit ribosomal RNA", at positions 338 to 916 of the family's 1533-position model. Lineage: Bacteria; Pseudomonadati; Pseudomonadota; Betaproteobacteria; Burkholderiales; Burkholderiaceae. The record is from RNAcentral.